Molecule: long non-coding RNA, 361 nt
Filed under: Sorghum bicolor (sorghum)
Lineage: Eukaryota; Viridiplantae; Streptophyta; Magnoliopsida; Poales; Poaceae
Description: long non-coding RNA (SBIC_LNC008181)
Source: RNAcentral
CUUGCUUAUAUUCAAGAUUAUAUUGUUCUUAGUUUAUCAUAGUUAUGUACUUGGCUUAGUUACAUUGGAUCUAUAUACAUGCUUAGGAUCGUAUAGCGUUUAUCCAUCGGAUCCGUGGGUAAAUGAUAGAUAUUGUGUAGGCGUGGUGCUUAUACCGUAUUUAUCUGCGAUUGUACCCAAUAUGCCAGAUCGUGGGGUAGUUCGUGAUAGUGACAGCUUCAUUGAUUCUUAUAUAGUCCCCCUCUCGUGUAUUGGGCUGGCAGAGCAACAUUAUUACAGGGGAGUGAUUGCUAUGUUUCUCAUUUACCUUGCUAAUAUCACUAUGCAUGGGCGUAGUCUUGUCUUGCAAUGAUUGCUAAGU